Molecule: ribosomal RNA, 206 nt
Filed under: uncultured bacterium
Lineage: Bacteria
Description: partial 16S ribosomal RNA
Rfam family: Bacterial small subunit ribosomal RNA
Source: RNAcentral
UGCGUAGGCGGCGCGGUAAGUCGGGUGUGAAAUCUCGGAGCUUAACUCCGAAACUGCAUUCGAUACUGCCGUGCUUGAGGACUGGAGAGGAGACUGGAAUUUACGGUGUAGCGGUGAAAUGCGUAGAUAUCGUAAGGAAGACCAGUGGCGAAGGCGGGUCUCUGGACAGUUCCUGACGCUGAGGCAAGGUCAGGGGAGGCGAAACG